RNAcentral lists this non-coding RNA (45 nucleotides) under Schistosoma bovis. RNAcentral also lists the same sequence under 1 other name. The record is from RNAcentral. Lineage: Eukaryota; Metazoa; Platyhelminthes; Trematoda; Strigeidida; Schistosomatidae.
GUCCAGCUGACGAGUUCCGAAUAGGACGAAACGUGAGUUCUAGAU